AACAAGGAAGCUGAAAUGCUAGGAAUUCAAGGAGCAACUUUACUGCUCGAUGGAGCCAAUUUAAGGCUAUGAACUAAUGAUAGGUAGGCAGGAUGAAAACUAAAUGAAAGGGCCUUUCUGGUGAAGAGAUAACAACGUGAAACGCUUUUGUAAGCUGGAUGUCUGGAUGCCUCUGUGUUUCACUGAAGUUGAUAUUGCUGGAGAUAGAUACCGAACGACUUCAUCAUCUCCUUUGAAAGAUACUUGGAUACAAACAUGUUGCGUGACAGGUGCUGAUUUUCUCAACUGCAAAGCAGAAAAGUAUGACUUGACCGAGGAUCAAAAAGAUAUGAUAGGAAAUCAGUCUAUUUUAUUCAUGGAGGGAUCUUUAAUGGCUUCUAUGAAAUUUGGAAGCAAAAUACUUCGUGCAAAACAUGGAGCCAAACAGGGAAUACUAGUUUUCACUGGAUCUUUACAUAUAGUUUAAGCUAUUUUAGGCUCCAUCAAUGGGUAGGUUAGAGUUUGUUAUUUAUUUUUUCUGUUCAUUAGACGUAUGAACUUUACAUCAAUUAAUUAGUCAUGCAACGGUAACCUUGAGGUUGUUCAUAUUGAGCGCUCGAGCUGAAGUUGUAAAGGAUUUAUUUUUCAAUGGAUCAUCGUG
Molecule: RNA transcript, 640 nt
Organism: Andrographis paniculata
Lineage: Eukaryota; Viridiplantae; Streptophyta; Magnoliopsida; Lamiales; Acanthaceae
Exons: 3
Source: RefSeq, a predicted model, not a curated record